This is a long non-coding RNA of Nerophis ophidion (straightnose pipefish), 2064 nucleotides long. RefSeq lists it as uncharacterized. The transcript is spliced from 4 exons. The record is from RefSeq and is a predicted model, not a curated record. NCBI's taxonomy places the organism in Eukaryota, Metazoa, Chordata, Actinopteri, Syngnathiformes, Syngnathidae.
AAAUUGCAGUUUUAAAUUUCCCCGGAGUUUCCUGUUGAAAACGUCGCGGAAUGAUGACGCGUGUUUGUGACGUUAUUGGUUGGAGGGGACAUAUUAGCCCAGCACCACUUACGGCUAAAAAUCGUCUCUUUUCAUCGCGCAAUUACACAGUAUUUUGGACAUCUGUGUUGCUGAGUCUUUUGCAAUUUGUUCAAUUAAUUAUGGAGAAGUCAAAGUAGAAAGAUGGAGGUGGGAAGCUUUUAGCCUUUAGCCACACAAACACACAGUGUUUCCUUGUUUAAAAUUCCCAAAGGUGAAGCUUUACUAUGGAUCAGAGCGGUCAAGCGAACAUGGAUCCCGACUACAUGUCAACCGGCAGUUUUCGGUGAGAAAAUUGUGGAAAUAAGUCUCCUCCUACCGGAGAUAAGCGGAGCCAGCGACCUCCUGCAGCUGCCGUGACUUCUCUCAGAGACUCUGGCGUCAAAACACCCGUGGACACACCCCUCCGACUUUAAGGCCCCACACUUCAAACUUGACGCUGACCAGCUUGUAGGAGCACAUGAUGGGGUCUUGGGUGUUGAUCCAUCCUUCCUCCAGGAGGCCUCGAUUGGUCUUCCUCGACUUAAAGUAGCGCAAGUCCUACAUGUCCGUGAGACAACAUAUCGUCAGGCACUCAUGUUGGGACCGAGGCAGACGCUCCACCACCCUUUGAAAAGUGAGUGUGUGGCGCUUGUCAACAGGACCAUGAAUGACAAGACAAAGUCCAAAAAGGUGCCGUUCCCUGCCUUUAAAGUGCACCGAUGACACAGCAAGCAACUUGUGUAAGUAAUACGAAAGUAUUUUUUGAAGUUAUAUUUUUGCUGGGCGUCUGAGUGAGUGACGUCAAUAAUUAAAUGUACGUGCGGUAGAGCAGAAGUGAUGCCGUUCUGAUGAUCACACGCAGAAAGGAAAUGACAAAUGUAAGGCUGCCUUUCAUCUUCCUCACUUUUAAAACUUGAUUCAUGAUUAAUUGAUGAUUCCCAUUCCUCUUUCCUCAUUGUCUCCAGACACUUUUACCAGCUCAGACAUGUGCUUAAACCCACUUUGCAUCCACCUUAUUCUGGGUAAUGCAUAUUAUAUUUCACACUGAAUUAGUCAAAUACACUUUAUUGCCAAAAGUGUUUGGUCACCUGCCUUGACCCACAUGAGAGUGCCAUCCCAUUCCCAACCCAUAGGGUUCAAUAUGAUGUCGGUCCACCUUUUGCAGCUAUUACAGCUUCAACUCUUCCGGGAAGGCUGUCCACAAGGUUGCGGAGUGUGUUUACAGGAAUGUUCCACCAUUCUUCCAAAAGCGCAUUGGUGAGGUCACACACUGAUGUUGAUUGAGAAGGCCUGGCGCUCAGUCUCCGUUCGAAUUCAUCCCAAAGGUGUUCUAUUGGGUUCAGGUCAGGACUCUGUGCAGGCCAGUCAAGUUCAUCCACACCAGACUCUGUCAUCCAUGUCUUUAAGUUAAAGUUAAAGUACCAAUGAUUGUCACACACACUAGGUGUGGUGAAAUGUGUCCUCUGCAUUCGACCCAUCCCCUUGAUCACCCCCUGGGAAGUGAGGAGAGCAGUGAGCAGCAGUGAUUCAACCCCCAAUUCCAUCCCUUGAUGCUGAGUGCCAAGCAGGGAGGCAAUGGGUCCCAUUUUUAUAUAGUCUUUGGUAUGACUCGGCCGGGGUUUAAACUUCCAACCUACCGAUCUCAGGGCAGACACUCUAACCACUAGGCCACUGAGUAGGUAUAAUAUGGACUUUGCUCUGUACACUGGUGCACAGUCAUGUUGGAAAGGGAAGAGGCCUGCACCAAACUUUUCCCACAAGGUUGGGAGCAUGGAAUUGUCCAAAAUGUUUUGGUAUCCUGGAGCAUUCAAAGUUCCUUUCACUGGAACUAAGGGGCCAAGCCUAACUCCUGAAAAACAACCCCACACCAUAAUUCCUCCUCUACCAUAUUUCCCUUUCGGCCCAAUGCAGUCUGAAAUGUACCGUUCUCCUGGCAACCUCCAAACCCAGAAUAUUUAGGAGCGAGGAAAUUUCACGACUGGAUUGGUUGCCCAGGUGGCAUCC